CAGUCGCCACGGGAACACAGAGGGUGCAAGCGUUAAUCGGAAUUACUGGGCGUAAAGCGCGCGUAGGUGGUUUGUUAAGUUGGAUGUGAAAUCCCCGGGCUUAACCUGGGAACUGCAUCCAAAACUGGCAAGCUAGAGUAUGGUAGAGGGUGGUGGAAUUUCCUGUGUAGCGGUGAAAUGCGUAGAUAUAGGAAGGAACACCAGUGGCGAAGGCGACCACCUGGACUGAUACUGACACUGAGGUGCGAAAGCGUGGGGAGCAAACAGGAUUAGAUACCCGAGUAUUCCCUGUCUCUUAUAC
This 301-nucleotide ribosomal RNA is filed under the name uncultured bacterium. RNAcentral describes it as "partial 16S ribosomal RNA". It matches the Rfam family "Bacterial small subunit ribosomal RNA", at positions 509 to 807 of the family's 1533-position model. The record is from RNAcentral.